RNAcentral lists this transfer RNA (73 nucleotides) under Thomasclavelia spiroformis. Its description in RNAcentral is "[Clostridium] spiroforme tRNA-Phe". It matches the Rfam family "tRNA". Rfam says of the family: Transfer RNA (tRNA) molecules are approximately 80 nucleotides in length. Their secondary structure includes four short double-helical elements and three loops (D, anti-codon, and T loops). Further hydrogen bonds mediate the characteristic L-shaped molecular structure. tRNAs have two regions of fundamental functional importance: the anti-codon, which is responsible for specific mRNA codon recognition, and the 3' end, to which the tRNAs corresponding amino acid is attached (by aminoacyl-tRNA synthetases). tRNAs cope with the degeneracy of the genetic code in two manners: having more than one tRNA (with a specific anti-codon) for a particular amino acid; and 'wobble' base-pairing, i.e. permitting non-standard base-pairing at the 3rd anti-codon position. RNAcentral also lists the same sequence under 3 other names. The record is from RNAcentral. Lineage: Bacteria; Bacillati; Bacillota; Erysipelotrichia; Erysipelotrichales; Coprobacillaceae.
GGAACUGCGGUGUGCUAGGUGCGCUCGCUGGACUGAAAAUCCAGAGGUAAAUGUUCGACUCAUUUCAGUUCCG